RNAcentral lists this unclassified non-coding RNA (250 nucleotides) under plant metagenome. RNAcentral describes it as "partial contains small subunit ribosomal RNA, internal transcribed spacer 1, and 5.8S ribosomal RNA". The record is from RNAcentral.
GUAGGUGAACCUGCGGAAGGAUCAUUAAAAGAGAAUUUAGUUUCUGAGAGAAAUCAAAGAACUAAAAUCCCAACCCUUGUUUAUAUACAAAAAAAUUUAUUGUUGCUUCGGCGAAUUGAUUAAUUUCGUCGCCAGAAGAAACCCCAAACCAAACUCUUGUUUAAAAUAUAAUGUCUGAAUUAUUUGAAAUAGGAUAAAACCUAUUAGAAUUAAAAUUACAACUUUCAACAACGGAUCUCUUGGUUCUGGC